AUUGAACGCUGGCGGCGUGCUUAACACAUGCAAGUCGAGCGGUAACGCGGGAGCAAUCCUGGCGACGAGCGGCGAACGGGUGAGUAAUGCUUGGGAAUCUGCCCAUUAGUGGGGAACAACCAGCCGAAAGGUUGGCUAAUACCGCAUACGCCCUACGGGGGAAAGCGGGGGAUCGUAAGACCUCGCGCUAUUGGAUGAGCCCAAGUCGGAUUAGCUUGUUGGUAGGGUAACGGCCUACCAAGGCGACAAUCCGUAGCUGGUCUGAGAGGACGACCAG
Molecule: ribosomal RNA, 277 nt
Filed under: uncultured bacterium
Lineage: Bacteria
Description: partial 16S ribosomal RNA
Rfam family: Bacterial small subunit ribosomal RNA
Source: RNAcentral